RNAcentral lists this long non-coding RNA (1462 nucleotides) under Aquila chrysaetos chrysaetos. RNAcentral's name for it is "lncRNA (ENSACCG00020004240.1)". The record is from RNAcentral. Lineage: Eukaryota; Metazoa; Chordata; Aves; Accipitriformes; Accipitridae.
GCUGGCUUCAGCGCUGGCGUGACAUCGCUUUCCCAACCGUACAACCUGGGAACUUCUCCCUCCUGGUUCCCUCUCCUCCACCUUUGCUCUUUAGGAGGGUCUGGGAUGCGAGCGGACCCCUCCAGUGGCAGGAUGGGUCCCCUCCCAGGGACCUUCCCCUCCCGGAGCCAAGCACACCAACAUCCUCCUCCCUUCUUUCUGGAUCUGGGCAGCAUGAAUGUGUCUCCCUUCUCAACCCCGCAUUCCCAUCCCUCUAGGCUUUCUCUAUCCUCCAUCCUCAUGGGCUUGUUUUCUUCGGUGCCUGGAUGCCAUCCUGCCAUGAAUUCACAGGACAAACCUAGACCUUGGGGCUUGCUGUGUGAGGCUGGAUUGAGGAUGUUUGCCUGCGAGUGCGUGCAAAGUCCUGACGUGCUGCGAGUCUGGCUCAGCUAAACAAAUAGCAGCCUUGGCCUCCCUCCCCACCCCAGGGUAUGUCACAGGUGAGUGGUUUAAUGACGAAAAAUCUAAAUGUGUGACCACCCCAGGCUGGUCUCGGGUCAAGCUGAGACCUUGGUCCCAUUCCAGGCGCUUGGAGGUUUGAGGAGGAGAGGGAUGUUUUGGGUGUCCCCGCAGGUCGCAGGGCAACGGGACCUUGGCUUGGGUGGGAAACGCAGCCCAGGGACGGCGGCGCUGGCACGAGUCGCCAGGAGGUAUGAGAGUCGCCGGGAGGAGAGAUGAGACUUUUUUUCUGUGUACAUAUAAUUUGCUGGAAUAGAAAGAAAUCAGAAAACAACCCCCAAAAACCUGUAUCAAAGAAACCAGGGCAGCUUUUCCCAGUGAAACAAAACCCAAACCAUCAGUGAGAAAACAUUGGCUGGGUCAACCUGCCACAAGCCAGUCUUCUGGGAUUGCAUAAACUUCAUAAAAAAAGCUCACUUCUUUCUUUGUACUUAUUUUUUUAUAAAACUUUUUAAUUCAGGUCCACUUCAAAAUGAAAAGAGGCUUCUUGAAACAAAAAAAGCAUUGUGGUUUGCUUUGAGAACAUCUAAAUGAGCCCUUUCGGCACUGCGCCAGUCCUCGCCCUUUCCCUUUGCCCAAACGAUGCCCCGCAGCCCCGUUAGAUGCCAGCUCCAAAGCCUUGUGUCCACACAGGUCACUUGCCCCCAUCUCCAGGAGGGGUGCUUGGGUGGGAGGCGAGUGUGUCACACUGUGUCCUGGUUUCAGCUGGGAUAGAAUUAAUUGUCUUCCUAGUAGCUGGUACAGUGCUAUGUUUUGAGUUCAGUAUGUGAAGAAUGUUGAUAACACACUGAUGUUUUCAGUUGUUGCUAAGUAGUGUUUAGUCUAAAGUCAAGGAUUUUUCAGCUUCUCAUGCCCAGCCAGUGAGAAAGCUGGAGGGGCACAAGAAGUUGGCACAGGACACAGCCAGGGCAGCUGACCCAGACUGGCCAACGGGGUAUUCCAUACCAUGUAAUGCCACAUCUAG